UCUUUGUGAGCAAGCACGGUGAUAGAAUACUGAGAAAGACACAAGAGAACAUGGUGGGGUUACUACGGAGAUACAAACAACUUCUCCCUAGGGAAAGAAUAAAGUGACAAGCUGAAAGAAAUUUCAGGCAGGGACGUUAAGCAGUAGCAAUCGGAAGAUUAAGCCGACCAAGAGGCUGCUUUUCAGAGAGAUCACAGGUGGAGGAAAUGAAGAUUAUUUAAAAAAAAAAAAUACUAGAAGAAGAAAACAAAAAGCUUCAUGAAUACCAAAGUCUCUGCCAGUCUUAUUUACACAGAUGAUUAAAGUUGAAAGAGAAAAGCAAAAAGAAAGAAGAUGAAGAAACUGAGGUUUGGAACACUUGAGUAACUUAUCUAAGAAUACUGAGCACAAAUAGCUUCUUUGCAUUGAAGAGUUGAAAUCCAAAGUUCAAACACUUGCAGAAGACAAAAUCCAAUCCCCAAGCAUCCACAGAGACAGCAAAGGCAGCUUUCUGAGGAUAUCACACAUACCAAAGAGCUUUAGAAUCAGACAUACAGAACAGUCCAAUGGGAAAGAAGCAUUCUUCCUAUGCUCUGUCAUUGAAUAGCAUGGACCGUGGACACGGGAGUGGCUCCGUGCCUUAGUAAUGGAAACCAGUAGAACAGCAAAGGUACCUACAGUUCCCAGGAGGGCAGCAGAUGAGGAAAGUGCAAGAGACUAUGGUAUUUAGAGAAUCGUCACUAGCAGAGGAGCAGCAGGGUAUGACAAGGACAAGCUUGUUGUUGAGCAUACCUAGAGACUAGCAGAAAUAACAGAAGAAGACUUUUCAGAGAACUCUAUUAUAUAGGUGGAAGCAAUAAGCCUGAGUAAUUUGAAUAAUGACUAAUAAGUUGACCUCAUUUAUAUCCACAGGCUGAGGAGGUCUGGAGAAAUUCAGGUUACAUUAUAAUAAAAACAAGUGAUUAUUAUUAUUAUCAUGCUAUAAUCACAUUUGAGCACAGAUUUUGCUCAUAGUUGCUUGCUUGACCCUUUGGAUUCCACCAAUUUUCUAGUGGCACAGAUCCAAUUUUCUAGUGCUUUGAGUUUUGACUUUCUCUUGACAUUGCCUAGUGGGUCAACGUGAGUAAGCUUUAAAAAAAAGU
Molecule: non-coding RNA, 1121 nt
Organism: Microcebus murinus (gray mouse lemur)
Lineage: Eukaryota; Metazoa; Chordata; Mammalia; Primates; Cheirogaleidae
Source: RefSeq, a predicted model, not a curated record